GACGAACGCUGGCGGCGUGCUUAACACAUGCAAGUCGAACGGAAAGGCCCGGCUUUUGUGGGUUGCUCGAGUGGCGAACGGGUGAGUAACACGUGAGUAACCUGCCCUUGACUUUGGGAGAACUUCAGGAAACUGGGGCUAAUAUCGGAUAGGAGCUCCUGAUGCAUGGGGGGGGAUGGAAAGUUACGGCCGUUGGGGAUGGUAUCGCGGCUUACCCGCUUGUUGGUGGGGUUGUGGCUUUCCAGGGCUUUGACGGGUAGCCGGCCUUGGAGGGUGGCCGGCCACCAUGGGCCUGCGGUACGGCCCAGAAUCCUACGGGACGCAGUAGUGGGAAACAUUGCGCAACGGGCGGGAGCGUGUUGCGGCAACGCUCCGUGCGUAAUGCCCGCCUACGGGUUAUGAACAGCUUUCGCAUGUGCCGAAGCGUUAGUGACGGUAAUGGGUAAAGAAGCACCGGCUAACUACGUG
Molecule: ribosomal RNA, 468 nt
Filed under: uncultured bacterium
Lineage: Bacteria
Description: partial 16S ribosomal RNA
Rfam family: Bacterial small subunit ribosomal RNA
Source: RNAcentral